Molecule: long non-coding RNA, 2406 nt
Organism: Ictalurus punctatus (channel catfish)
Lineage: Eukaryota; Metazoa; Chordata; Actinopteri; Siluriformes; Ictaluridae
Source: Ensembl
AGUAGAGAAUGGAGCUGAUCUUCUACAGUGAACAUUUUCGGAGAUUGGCGUUAGCGCCUCAUCGCACUGGAUUUCUUAUAACGCAUCACACACACACACUCAAGUUGACACUCAUCUUCACAAGUUGACAUUCAAAACAGGACACAUUAUAAGGUCUAAUUUAACCUAGCAAUUAUUUGUUUCACAAUCUUUUGAGUAUUUUUGUAUAGGUUGGUAUAGUGAAUGCUCUUGUGUCCAUUAAGUGCUGUAUGUAUAUUUUAUCUCUCAGAAAAAAAAAACAAAGCAAUCAGAGUAAUUAUUAUUACUAUGUUUGUGCAGACCUCAUGUGUUUAGAAACCUAUAUUUACUGAAAUUCCGGACAUUUCUGUUGAUCUGCCUUUAACAGUAUCAAUUGCUUUCUCUUCUUUAAUUGUUGUCUAUUCUGUAAGUAAGAAUGGCGUAUGAGAGAGCAUGCAAAUACUAUCUGAGUAAAAAUUAGUUACAUUUAGUGUAUUGUCAAUAGUGUUAAUACUUGAAAUACUAUUUCUAAUGAUAUAACAAUACUGUAUAUGGCACUUUACGAUGAUAUAUGAACUUAUUUUAUGACCAAGUGUGCAGUUCUUGGUUUUGUACUCAAUACUGUUUGUAUAUCUUGAAAAGCCAUGCGCUCUUUAUCAGUGAGCCAAUUGCAUGUUUAAAUGCAUGUGAAACUUCUUAGCCAUGUCACAAAAGAAAGCGCUCUCUUUUCUUUCCUCCCGCAAUAACAAUGUUUUGCAUAUUAUGAUGCGCAAAGAGUAUUAUGUACAUACUGUAUCAGAAGUGGCUUAAGAAAAUUAAGAAUUUAAACUUCUUAAGACUUUGCUAUGUAGAAAAACCUCUUUCUCUGUCUCACUGGUUGAAGUUCUCUCAUGCUUUCUCAUCUCCAGUCUCUUUAAGGGGUGCAUCAAACUGCCACGUUUUUUCAUCCAACCAUCACUUGGUGUCUCACGCAAAACCGUCUCUUGUGAGACCUUUUACGUGACGAAACCCCAAGUGAGUUGCUUUGUAUUUGACUCUGGUGCUGCAUUUUUGUACACACCUAUUGGUUAGAUGCAAAAAACAGGCCGUUUCCCAUGUUCUGGAGUUGAGAAACAUUUGUUCUUUUGGUCUAAAGCGACCUCUGACCUCUCACUGAGGACUUUUGAACCAGCAAUGUGAAUUAUGUAAAACAUAAAUAUGCUUUUCCACACAAGUGCAGGUGGACAAAUGAUUUGAAAAUUCUUCCUUAAAGAUAAAAUGAACGCAGAAUAUAUGACAUUGUUGACUGUCAUGAUUGUAAUUUUUUUGUUUGUUUGUUUGUUCUGUUCCUAAAAUGGCUAUUUUGGAUAAGAAAUAUUUGCCUUUUGGUGUUACACUUGACAAACAUAAGGACUGAAUUUCAUUUUAAGCCCAUUGUCUCUGACAAAUGAGUGCAUGCUUGUUUUCUUUCGUCUUCCUCUAUCUCAACCCAUAGUUUGUGUACCUGUACCACACUAUUAUAUCUGUUUUCAGGUCUAAUACAGUGUGCAUACAUUUUGCAAUAGGCUGUAUUUUUGGCUUUCUGGGGAACUUGAUAAGGAUGUGAUCCCAUCAGCCUCCAGUAUUCUGUGAAUCAUGUUGAUGAUUGACUCCUACACAUAGACAUAAGCUUUAACUUGUUAUGUUCAUGUACAAACACUCACAUUAGACCUAUUUAAAUAAGAAUUGCUUCAAAGUUUGCUUUUGAGUUAAAGCAAACCUUUUGUUUCUAUUUAGAUUACAAUGCAAAUAAGACUUCUCUGUGCAUAUUAAAAUAUGUGCAGAUAACAAACAAUGGUGAAUGUGUGAUUAAUUUAUUGUGUAUGACCAAUGUACUUGUAAUUACUAUUUAUAAUGUAUAUAAGGCAGUGACCUUAAAGGGAAAAAAAAAUCCACCCUGAAUGACUAUGUGAUCUUCAGUGAUAUAUUUUGAAAUGAAAUCCUCAGUCGAACUUGUUUCGUUGACAUAUUGGUUGAAUUUCACCUUUUGUUUUCUGCAUUACUCACAAUUACCUACUGAUAGUGGCGGCAAUGGGAUUUAGCCCUCACUUCAUCUCUACCUAUGAAGCAGCGAUCUCUACCUAUGAUGCAGCGAUGCAGCAGCGCUUUAGUACUUUAGUCUGUCCAGCUGUCUCACUAACUUAUCUGUACACUCUGCUCAAACAGAUCAGGUUCCAAAGUUUGCAUUUCCGAGCUAAUAAUGCCAUCAAUACCAUCACGCUCAUCAGCUGUUGCGUUACAGUAAAUCAUUACCUGUCAUGUUGAUGGACAGUGCUGUCAAAAUUCCGCCAUUUUAAUUUGUCGUAUUUUUCCACUUGCCAGUUGAAUGAUUGUAUAGAAUUGGUUUUGAUUUUCUAUGUCUGUGGCGGAAGACAAAUGCCUAGACUAAAU